CCUACGGGAGGCAGCAGUGAGGAAUAUUGGUCAAUGGACGAGAGUCUGAACCAGCCAAGUAGCGUGAAGGAUGACUGCCCUAUGGGUUGUAAACUUCUUUUAUAUGGGAAUAAAAUGUUCCACGUGUGGGAUUUUGUAUGUACCAUAUGAAUAAGGAUCGGCUAACUCCGUGCCAGCAGCCGCGGUAAUAAGGAGGAUCCGAGCGUUAUCCGGAUUUAUUGGGUUUAAAGGGAGCGUAGGUGGAUUGUUAAGUUAGUUGUGAAAGUUUGCGGCUCAACCGUAAAAUUGCAGUUGAAACUGGCAGUCUUGAGUACAGUAGAGGUGGGCGGAAUUCGUGGUGUAGCGGUGAAAUGCUUAGAUAUCACGAAGAACUCCGAUUGCGAAGGCAGUUCACUGGACUGCAACUGACACUGAGGCUCGAAAGUGUGGGUAUCAAACAGGAUUAGAUACCCUAGAAGUC
This 460-nucleotide ribosomal RNA is filed under the name uncultured bacterium. RNAcentral describes it as "partial 16S ribosomal RNA". It matches the Rfam family "Bacterial small subunit ribosomal RNA", at positions 338 to 795 of the family's 1533-position model. The record is from RNAcentral.